CACAUCUCAACUUCGUUCCCUUUGUUUCUCAUUUGAAACCUUCACAACUCUUAUUUCACAACUCAAUUUUUGUUUUUCACUAUUUUUCUUCCAAGCAAGCAUUCAUUUUCAUUUUCUCUAUUUUUUUCUUUUCUUUUCACAUCGUAUUCACAAAACAGAUGUUUCUCUUUUCUAUUUUUUAUUUUUAUUUUUUUCAAUGCUUGCUCGGUUUUUCAAGAGUUGUGGCACUUACCGAUUCUCUUUUUCGUUCUCCCCAACUUAUUUCUUACUCACCCUAAGUGAAUGCUCUUGACUUUUUACGGCAAAAGAACAAUUAUCAAAAAAUUUCGGGUUUCAAGAAAAAAGAUUUUU
RNAcentral lists this long non-coding RNA (351 nucleotides) under Lathyrus oleraceus (garden pea). RNAcentral's name for it is "Pisum sativum (pea) long non-coding RNA (PSAT_LNC017607)". Lineage: Eukaryota; Viridiplantae; Streptophyta; Magnoliopsida; Fabales; Fabaceae. The record is from RNAcentral.